This is a long non-coding RNA of Cydia splendana, 272 nucleotides long. RefSeq lists it as uncharacterized. The transcript has 2 exons. NCBI's taxonomy places the organism in Eukaryota, Metazoa, Arthropoda, Insecta, Lepidoptera, Tortricidae. The record is from RefSeq and is a predicted model, not a curated record.
UGCUACAUAGGUAUUUCUACCCACCCACCGUACCUAUCUCUUUGCUUUUAAGAAUACGUGCCUUUUUCAUUAUUCAUCAAUAUUAAUAAUAAUUAAAACGACUACGAUGCCCUUGGAAAUAACUCUGAAGCAACUCCAGUGUGGCCCAAAACUGACCCUGAACUUUAUGGUUUCCUGCAGUCGCACUGAUGUCAACAAUGUGAGUGAUGCAGUGACUGAGCCUAUUAAUGUCAAUAAUCUGGCUCUAGUCCGAUUCAAAUUUCGGUAUGCCC